Long non-coding RNA from Rosa chinensis, 429 nucleotides. RefSeq lists it as uncharacterized. The record is from RefSeq and is a predicted model, not a curated record. The transcript is spliced from 3 exons. NCBI's taxonomy places the organism in Eukaryota, Viridiplantae, Streptophyta, Magnoliopsida, Rosales, Rosaceae.
UGCAGGUCUUUUUGAAAUCGAACAAGAAUUUCUUACACAUUGAAUCUGGGUAAACAUGGUAUCAAGAAACAACUGUUUCAACUUCUUGAUUUCAUUGCUGCAACUGGUACUGAGAAAAUUAGACAGGGAGAAGUGGAAACCUAUCUUUAAAAAGCAAAUUUCUUGCCAAGUUUGUCGUGGUGGUUUUGUUCUAAAAACAAUGAUCCAGCUUUGAAGGCUUCUUAUAAACUGGACAAUCAUGUGGAACAUGGAGCAGUGACGAAAGCUUUUGAAGUGAUAGAGAGAAAUUUGUUUAGCUAGAAGUUGGUCUUUUUUGGGUUGGCCUUAAUUGCAGUUCUCCUAUAGAUGUGAUUAUGUGACAUUUUUAGGUACAUUUCUGGAUGUAUUUUGCUAUAAGAGUUUCAAAGAUGUGAUCCCUUAUUUUGUGGA